Molecule: ribosomal RNA, 164 nt
Filed under: uncultured bacterium
Lineage: Bacteria
Description: partial 16S rRNA
Rfam family: Bacterial small subunit ribosomal RNA
Source: RNAcentral
UAGGGAAUCUUCCACAAAGGGCGCAAGCCUGAUGGAGCAACACCGCGUGAGUGAAGAAGGGUUUCGGCUCGUAAAGCUCUGUUGUUAAAGAAGAACACGUAUGAGAGUAACUGUUCAUACGUUGACGGUAUUUAACCAGAAAGUCACGGCUAACUACGUGCCAC